Chelonoidis abingdonii (Abingdon island giant tortoise) is the source of this 134-nucleotide small nucleolar RNA. The record is from Ensembl. Lineage: Eukaryota; Metazoa; Chordata; Testudines; Testudinidae.
UUUCCCAUUUAUUUACUGCCGUGCAGUCUCAAUGCUAUGAGCAGUUAUACGCGUGGGAUAGAGUAUAAUAAGGCCAUUGUAAAUGUGUGAUGAAACAACCGAUGUUUCACCAUCAUUGGUAGGGCUGGACAUCU